Molecule: non-coding RNA, 3690 nt
Organism: Camellia sinensis
Lineage: Eukaryota; Viridiplantae; Streptophyta; Magnoliopsida; Ericales; Theaceae
Source: RefSeq, a predicted model, not a curated record
CAGUUUCUAGUCCGAGCUCAAACCAAGAAACGAAAGUAUGUUCCCAAUUUCACUUGUAGUGAGUCCCAUAGUCUCUGUAGUGAUAAAAACAGCUGCUUCCUUAAUCAGUGACAGGUAUGUGGGUGUGAUCGGAGUCGAGGAAGAUAUCAAAAGACUGUCAGAUACCAUGUCUGCAAUCAAUGCUGUUCUUCAAGAAACAGACAAGAUGCAAACAAAGUCUGAACCCCUGAAAGAUUGGCUUGAAAAGGUGCAAGACUUUGCUUAUGACACAGCAGACAUUCUAGAGACCCUAUCGGCCGAUGCGUAUAUGUGGAGAAGGAAGCAAGUAAGUAGCUUAAGAUCAAGCAUGCACAAAAUUUUCAUUGGGUAUAGCAUAGUAGAUGAUGUGACCAAGCUGUUACGAAGGCUAGAAGACAUUAAGGAAGGAAAAAAACUGUUCGACAACAUCAUUAGUGCCCCGGUUGUGAUGAUGCCUGCUUCUGAGACUGGACACGGACACGGAUAUGGUCAAACACACACUAGUUCUCUCUUGAGCAAAUCGCAAGUUGUCGGCAGGAAAGAUGAUAAAGAGAAGAUAGUGGAGAUGUUGGUGUCGGCGGCGUUGGAUAAAGAUGUGAGUGAGGAGGAAGGACACAUUACUACCAUUACCAUUGUCGGGAUGGGAGGGGUAGGCAAAACAACUCUUGCUCGAUUGGUCUACAAUGAUGAUGCAGUUAAAGAGCAUUUUCAGUACAGAAUAUGGAUUUCUGUCAAUUUCAAUUUCAAUUUGGACAGGAUUCUACAAGAGAUGAAGGUAUCCCUUUAUGGGAAGUCGUACAAACCAACCCUGUCUAUGGACAACGUACAAACAGAAGUUCACAAGUUUUUGGCCGGAAAGCGUUUUCUGCUUGUUCUAGAUGAUGUUUGGACUCAAAACAUUACAGACUGGGAGCAGCUGAAGGUAAUCCUGGAAAAUGGGGAAAGGGGCAGCAGAGUCAUUGUGACUAGUCGAAGCAAAAGAGUUUUCGGCAUUCAAGCUAAUCCCUAUAACUUGUCAGAAAUGGGAGAGGAAGAAUGUUGGGAUCUGUUCAAGAAGCAUGCAUUUCAAGGUAAUAAUACAUCAGGCGAUGCUCGCAAACGUCUGGAAGAUAUUGGCAGGGGAAUUGUGCACAAGUGCCAAGGUCUACCUUUGGCUGUCAAGGUAAUGGGACUUCUCCUAUGUAACAUUGAAGCAAGCAAAUGGGAAGAUAUCCUGAAAAAUGAUAUAUGGAAGGUAGACCAGAACUUGAAAGAAGGGGAGGAAGAAAUUUUACCUGCUCUAAUGUUGAGUUUUAUCCAUCUUCCUUCUCAUCUUAAGCAGUGUUUUGCCUACUGUUCUAUAUUUCCAAAGGGAUAUGGAUUUGAUAAGAAUGAACUGGUGAAAUUCUGGAUGGCUGAGGGAUUCAUUCAGCUUAGUGAUAUAGAAAGGAUGGAGGAUAAAGGACUUAGGUACUUCGACGAGUUGUUAGCAAGAUCAUUCUUUCAACCAAAUGAUGGGCCCGAGACUAAUUGUAAGAUGCAUGAUCUCAUCCAUGACUUGGCACUCUCAGUUUCCAGCCGCUAUAUUCACCACCUAAAGGAUGAUGGGAAGUGUGAUGUUUCUGAAACAUCUCGUUAUGUGUCACUGGUUUGUAAAGAUGUUGAGCAGCCUAUUAUGAAUAUAAUUAGCAAGUCCAGAAGAAUUUGCACUCUUCUAUCGCCUACUGAGUUGUUCACCAAGGAAUUUGGUCAGGUCCUCCUUGAGCAAAUUUUUCACAAUUUGAGGUACAUUCGUUUAUUGGAUCUAAGUUCAAGCACACUCAUGGAAUUGCCUAAGUCAAUUAAAGAGUUGAAGCUGUUGAGCUACCUUGACCUGUCAAAAACUGAAAUAAGACAGCUUCCAGAUGCAAUAUGUAGCCUCCACAAUUUACAGACCCUGAAACUCUUGGGGUGCCAUUAUUUUUCUGAUUUACCCAAGGACCUCAGUAUCUUGAUUAACCUAAGAUAUCUUGAGGUAGAUGAAAUAUUUUGGUUCAGGUGCUCAACAUUGCCACGGGGAAUUGGGAGCUUGACUAGUCUACACAAUCUACACAAGUUUCCUUUGGGCUGCCAGAAAGGAUAUGGAAUUGAGGAACUGAAGAACUUGCUGUAUCUCACAGGAAAACUGCACAUCUCAAAACUUGAAAAUGCAGUGAAUGCAUGUGAUGCUAACUUGAAAGACAAGCCAAUGCUUCGAGAGUUGGUUUUGGAAUGGAGUGAAAGAAAUUUUCAAUUGACGGGAGAAAUAACUGACGAGAGAACACUAGAAGACCUAAAUCCUCACUCAAGUCUUGAAGUGCUCAGAAUUAUUCACUACAUGGGUACUAGAAUUCCGACUUGGAUGAGAAGCGGGGAACUCCAAACUCUAAAAGUUCUUUCCCUUUAUCAUUGCAAAAAUUGCAAAAUCCUCACCCUUGGUCAGCUACCUGCGCUCGAAGAGCUCUACAUCAAAGGAAUGGAAGAGUUGGAGGAAUGGCAUGAGGAGGGAUCACCAUCUAUGUAUAGACUGAACAUUAGCAACUGCCCGAAGCUAAGGAAGUUGCCAGGUUUUUUGGGUGACUUGAGAGUUUUGAAGAUCAAAAAGUGUGAUUCAUUGAAGGCUCUUCCAGUAACCCCAUUUCUGGUGUUUCUAAUCCUUAUCGACAAUCUUGCCUUUGAGGGUUGGUCUGAACCACGCAUUUCAUUAUACCCUUCAAAUGACCAAGACGAGCCCACGCCCAGCUCUUUUGAGAAUGAUCAAGGCCAUCCCCUCCGCUGCAUAUCUGGAAACAGUCAAUUCCAACAUGAUCAAUGCCGACCUGUGUUAUCCUCUUCAGGGUAUCGAACCCUAAUGCAGCAUGCGAUGAUUCAUCUCUUGGAAUUGAAAAUUAUAGGUUGCCCCAAGAUUCAAGGUCUACCACAAUUUUUUUCCCCACAAAAACUGGAGCUCAUUGGGUGUAAUGACCUCCUGCAAGCCCUCCCAAUCGACACACCACGUCUCCAGGUAUUAGCAUUGGACGCAUGCCCUGAUGCCACCUUAGUGCAGGCAAUACCUCACAGCCCCAUUAUGUACUCUUUAGCCAUUUCCAAUAUCUCAAACCUAGUCUCUCUUCCUGCAUUGCCUGAGCUCCCUCUGCUUUCGGCACUGCACAUACGUGGCUGCAAAGAUCUCAAGUCUUUGUUGGACAGAGAAGGGUCAUGGCAAAGCUUGCCAAAUCUGAAACUACUAUCCAUUCGGGAUUGUUCUCAACUUUCAACCUUGGCAGAUGAAGGGCUUCCUGCCUCGCUUGAAUGUUUAAUUAUUCACUCAUGUGCCAAUCUUCGGUCUUUAGGCCCAAGUUGGGUGUUGCGGAACCUUAGUUCCUUCAAGGAUCUUUACAUUGACGAUUGCCCUGAACUUUAGUCCUUGCCAGAGGAGGGGGUUCCUACUUCACUUCAACAUCUGCGUAUUAAGGGGUGCCCCUUAUUGAUGGCGCGAUGCGAAAAUGAGGAUGGAGGAGGCUCAGAUUGGCAAAAAAUUAGGGACAUUCCUGACUUGCAGAUUGAGAAAGUGGCUCUCAAACCUCGUGCAUCUUCAUCAGCUCAUAGUUACUUUCCAUACUGUUGUAAAGGAAUUGACACAAAAGAUACAGAGCAAGUGGAACAACUCAAACCAGGCAGCUUAAAGCAACAAGG